RNAcentral lists this ribosomal RNA (916 nucleotides) under uncultured bacterium. RNAcentral describes it as "bacterial SSU rRNA". It matches the Rfam family "Bacterial small subunit ribosomal RNA", at positions 8 to 916 of the family's 1533-position model. The record is from RNAcentral.
AGAGUUUGAUCCUGGCUCAGGACGAACGCUGGCGGCGUGCUUAAUACAUGCAAGUCGAGCGAGGUUACUGUUUUGGAUCCCUUCGGGGUGAAGAAGCUUUAACCUAGCGGCGGACGGGUGAGUAACGCGUGGGUAACCUACCCCAAAGUCCGGGAUAACAGCGGGAAACCGCUGCUAAUACCGGAUGUCUUUACCUUGGGGCAUCUUGAGGUAAAGAAAGGUAACGCUUUGGGAUGGGCCCGCGUCCCAUUAGCUAGUUGGUGAGGUAACGGCUCACCAAGGCGACGAUGGGUAGCCGGCCUGAGAGGGUGGACGGCCACACUGGGACUGAGACACGGCCCAGACUCCUACGGGAGGCAGCAGUAGGGAAUAUUGCGCAAUGGACGGAAGUCUGACGCAGCGACGCCGCGUGAGCGAUGAANGUCUUCGGAUCGUAAAGCUCUGUCCUUGGGGAAGAAGGCNAAAGCUUGACGGUACCCAAGAAGAAAGCCCCGGCUAACUACGUGCCAGCAGCCGCGGUNAUACGUAGGGGGCGAGCGUUGUCCGGAAUUACUGGGCGUAAAGGGUGCGUAGGCGGCCCUUUAAGUCGGAUGUGAAAGCCCGCGGCUUAACCGCGGAAUGGCAUUCGAAACUGGAGGGCUUGAGUGUCGGAGAGGGUAGUGGAAUUCCCAGUGUAGCGGUGAAAUGCGUAGAUAUUGGGAGGAACACCAGUGGCGAAGGCGACUACCUGGACGAUAACUGACGCUGAGGCACGAAAGCUAGGGGAGCAAACAGGAUUAGAUACCCUGGUAGUCCUAGCCGUAAGCGAUGGGUACUAGGUGUGGGUGGUUUCGAUACCAUCCGUGCCGUAGUUAACGCAUUAAGUACCCCGCCUGGGGAGUACGUGCGCAAGCAUGAAACUCAAAUGAAUUGACGG